AAGGCUGCUGUGAUGACUGCAUAGUUCAGCAGAUGACCUGUGGUGAACAAAAUUACUGUCUUUCGCUUCCAGCUGAUGCAGCCUC
Ficedula albicollis (Collared flycatcher) is the source of this 85-nucleotide small nucleolar RNA. NCBI's taxonomy places the organism in Eukaryota, Metazoa, Chordata, Aves, Passeriformes, Muscicapidae. The record is from Ensembl.